GAUGAACGCUGGCGGCGUGCCUAAUACAUGCAAGUCGAGCGAACGGACGAGAAGCUUGCUUCUCUGAUGUUAGCGGCGGACGGGUGAGUAACACGUGGAUAACCUACCUAUAAGACUGGGAUAACUUCGGGAAACCGGAGCUCAUACCGGAUAAUAUUUUGAACCGCAUGGUUCAAAAGUGAAAGACGGUCUUGCUGUCACUUAUAGAUGGAUCCGCGCUGCAUUAGCUAGUUGGUAAGGUAACGGCUUACCAAGGCAACGAUGCAUAGCCGACCUGAGAGGGUGCGCGGCCACACUGGAACUGAGACACGGUCCAGACUCCUACGAGAGGCAGCAGUAGGGGAUCUUCCGCAAUGGGCGAAAGCCUGACGGAGCAACGCCGCGUGAGUGAUGAAGGUCUUCGGAUCGUAAAACUCUGUUAUUAGGGAAGAACAUAUGUGUAAGUAACUGUGCACAUCUUGACGGGACCUAAUCAGAAAGCCACGGCUAACUACGUG
This 497-nucleotide ribosomal RNA is filed under the name uncultured bacterium. RNAcentral describes it as "partial 16S ribosomal RNA". It matches the Rfam family "Bacterial small subunit ribosomal RNA", at positions 28 to 507 of the family's 1533-position model. The record is from RNAcentral.